Non-coding RNA from Paramuricea clavata, 1385 nucleotides. The record is from the annotation of a GenBank genome assembly. Lineage: Eukaryota; Metazoa; Cnidaria; Anthozoa; Malacalcyonacea; Plexauridae.
UUUCAUCUCAAUCUUCUCUUGUUUAAGUAGACUUUCAGUGUUUGUUGAAAGUUUGGAAAGUUCAUCUGAAAAUCACAAUAUUUCUUUCAAUGUUGACUCUGGAUUUUAUUUGAGUCUUCAAAUAUUGAAUCUUAGAAAAAACAAUUAGCGAUCAAUUGAAGUAUACAAUACUUUUACAAUUAGUACUGUUAGAACUGCCUCAUUGUUUAAUAGUCCUGUCUUAUUUAUCCCAGCACACUCUUAAUACAUGAGUUUGAUUAUUCCUGGACACAAAUAAAAUGGAUUUGUUAAGGAAUAGGGCAGUUCUAUACAGUACUACUUAUAGGAGGGUUGUGUUCUUCAGUUGUUUUUUUUAUUCUUGUACCAACUGGAUUGUUAUCAACAAAAAAGUUGAAUUUUGGAACAAACUUUGUGAUUUUUAAAAGAAUUUUCCCAACUUUAAAACAAACAGUUAAGGUCGAAAUAGGCUAGGAUAUUGCCUUUACUUCAUUACAAAGUGGAACCUAUUUGAAUGUGGAUGAACUGAAGCAGCAAACUAUACUUAAUUUUGGGGGCAAUGUGAGAUGGAGAAAAUAAAAGAAAAUUGAUUGUCAUGCAUGACAAGGAAAACCACAACCAGACUACAGGAUGAUGUUCUAGGUUUUAGGUUUAUUAAUAAAAAUUACAUUGCAACCAAGGGUUGGAUUACAUAAUUUACACUAACUAUCAAUUACUACUAUACUAUACAAAUUUUAAAAUUAUCAUUAAUUAUUUGCAUUUAAAACGAUUUGCACAUAGCAUGUGCAACAGAUCUCAUACCCCUAUUAGUCUUAAAUUUCGUUUCUGACUGUUAAUCUUCGCUUUGUGUCUGCAUGUAAGUUAGUUAUACAAUUUAUGUGAAGGAUCAGUCAAAUAGGUCACAGAUCAGUUUUUUGGCAUAUGAUUUGUAUUAUAGGGAAGGAAAAACAAUCGGCAUUCAAAAGUAUAUAUUAAUUUAAUUGUUAGGUAAAGCAAUCCAAUAAUUGGAAUAUUGAGGCUGAAGAUAAGAUCAACAGUUCUUUGUGCUAGGUGUUAAUCAAUGCACAAUUUGAAAUAAGAUUUGAAUCAAAAUUCAAGCACGGAAUUAACCAUGCAUAUUUUUAGUAUUCAUCAAAACUUGUGUGUGUUUCAUCACACAUAAGAUCGGCAAUGACUGAGAUGCCCUUUAUGUACCAAAUUUUAUACUCUAAUCUGAAUAAAAAGUUCUAGAUUUUAAAAUGCUAUUUUAUUUAAAUAAUAUGACCUACAACCCUAAUUUUUUUUUAAGUAUGAAAUUUUUCAAGCUUGAAUUUAAUAUUUUAUUUUUCUCGAAUCAGAUUCAAUUAAUUAAUUUCGUACCUUUGGGCUUUGGUUUGGAUACUGAGAUG